AACGAACGCUGGCGGCAGGCCUAACACAUGCAAGUCGAGCGAGGACUUCGGUCCUAGCGGCGGACGGGUGAGUAACGCGUGGGAACGUGCCCUUUGCUUCGGAAUAGCCCUGGGAAACUGGGAGUAAUACCGGAUGAGCCCUUUGGGGGAAAGAUUUAUCGGCGAAGGAUCGGCCCGCGUUGGAUUAGGUAGUUGGUGGGGUAAUGGCCUACCAAGCCGACGAUCCAUAGCUGGUUUGAGAGGAUGAUCAGCCACACUGGGACUGAGACACGGCCCAGACUCCUACGGGAGGCAGCAGUGGGGAAUCGUAGACAAUGGGGGAAACCAUGAUCUAGCCAUGCCGCGUGAGCGAUGAAGGCCGUAGGGUUGUAAAGCUCUUUCAGCUGGGAAGAUAAUGACGGUACCAGCAGAAGAAGCCCCGGCUAACUCCGUG
This 433-nucleotide ribosomal RNA is filed under the name uncultured bacterium. RNAcentral's name for it is "partial 16S ribosomal RNA". It matches the Rfam family "Bacterial small subunit ribosomal RNA", at positions 29 to 507 of the family's 1533-position model. The record is from RNAcentral.